RNAcentral lists this long non-coding RNA (415 nucleotides) under Monodelphis domestica (gray short-tailed opossum). RNAcentral's name for it is "lncRNA (ENSMODG00000030820.2)". Lineage: Eukaryota; Metazoa; Chordata; Mammalia; Didelphimorphia; Didelphidae. The record is from RNAcentral.
AGCCUCACCUGGCUGAGAGUGAGGUUUGUUUGAGCCCCAUUGUCAUAGCAACAAGGGAAUGUUUGUUAACAGAGCCAGUGACUUCACAGAAGCUGGUCUUAAUUCCACAUUUCUGAAGCUCAGGGAAGAGCAGAGCCAGCCAGGAGAGAAUGUGGAGGCAGAGGAAGACAAUAGUUCCCUUGGAAGAGCUGUGACUACUAGAAAAGUAUGUCCUGCUCAGGGAAGAGCAGAGCCAGCCAGGAGAAAAUGUGGAGGCAGAGGAAGACAAUAGUUCCCUUGGAAGAGCUGUGACUACUAGAAAAGUACUGUCCUGAUUGACCCCUGUUUACACUCAAGGAUUUCUUUUGUUCUCUUCUACUCGUCAUAACAGUGGUCACAUAAUGGAACCAAUAAAAAUCUGGUUUGGGAUGGGUCA